AUCAUUGCCCUCAUCGGAGGAGAUGGUGGCGUUUGAAAUGGUUGGUUUACGGCGAGCUGCGUAGCAAACGACGAGGUUCAUCAAUUUUGAUCCAAUCUUCUGAUCUGAAAAAAGCGGUUUAGUAAUGGACCACGCUUUACAGUUUUCAUCAUUUUUGUACAAUCGGUAAUGGCGAGAGACUGAUAAUUUGGAAUUAUAGGGUUUUGUAGCUGGAGAAAAGGAAUUGGGGUAGCAAUUGUUGCAGAGAAGAGCUUGCGUUGUCGCCAUUACGCUGUUCGCCAUCCUCGUCCGGUUUUCAGUUUUCACUUGUCACCAC
This 316-nucleotide long non-coding RNA is filed under the name Manihot esculenta (cassava). RNAcentral's name for it is "long non-coding RNA (MESC_LNC008399)". The record is from RNAcentral. Lineage: Eukaryota; Viridiplantae; Streptophyta; Magnoliopsida; Malpighiales; Euphorbiaceae.